UACGUAGGGGGCAAGCGUUGUUCGGAAUGACUGGGCGUAAAGGGUGCGUAGGCGGUGUAGCAAGUUAGAAGUGAAAUACCUAGAGCUUAACUCAGGUGCUGCUUCUAAAACUGCUAUACUUGAGUGCAGUAGAGGAAAGUGGAAUUCCUAGUGUAGCGGUGGAAUGCGUAGAUAUUAGGAGGAACAUCAGUGGCGAAGGCGACUUUCUGGACUGUAACUGACGCUGAGGCACGAAGGUGUGGGGAGCAAACAGG
Molecule: ribosomal RNA, 254 nt
Filed under: uncultured bacterium
Lineage: Bacteria
Description: partial 16S ribosomal RNA
Rfam family: Bacterial small subunit ribosomal RNA
Source: RNAcentral